This 1022-nucleotide long non-coding RNA is filed under the name Hordeum vulgare. Its description in RNAcentral is "long non-coding RNA (HVUL_LNC012855)". Lineage: Eukaryota; Viridiplantae; Streptophyta; Magnoliopsida; Poales; Poaceae. The record is from RNAcentral.
UCCUUUUAGAGACUAACUAGCCCCAUCUUAAUUUUUGUAAUGGUUCCACCGUUAUUUGUACUUUUAUGUAAUUGUAUUCUUGUAACUCUUUGUAACUCUUAUUUCUUUACCAUUUGAUCCGAGUGGAUGAAUGGUCCCUAAAAUAGCAAAUCAUCAUGAUCGGAGUAGAUGCAAAUGCUUUGGGCAUCGAUCUAACGAAUGGUACAAUAGCUUACCCCUUAAAAAUUGAUGUGAACUUAGUUGUGCAACCUGUCUGCUAAUUACAGCACCAUGGCUGAUAGAACGGUAGCGAUGAAGCAUCUCUCUAACACGAGGAUGACCUAAAUUAGGAUAUCAAUUUUUUCUUUUGCGAGGGACGGACCACGACUCCGAUACCGAGUCGGUUACGCACAAGCCGCAAAGCCAUGGCUGUCUAUAUACCAUGAUGUGUAUGUAGCUCUCACGUACGUGCAUCUGAGUCCGAACAUCUGAUCUCAUCUGAAGCACCUCCUAUCCCCUCCUGGUGUGGUGUUGAGUAGCGAGAGCGUUUGCUCGAGGCCAUCCCUCAUGCAUGCGCUGGGCUCGGUGAUUAAUGGCCUGCAGGACACGAUGCCGUUUACUGAUCCAAGACUACUAGAGUGGUCGACGCGUGGAUGUUUCACGAUCCAUGCCCAUUCAACAUGAAUUCUGCAACAAGACCACCGGGCUGCUGCGUGGAACGGCUGGUGACCCGUAUAUGCCUCAAUGCAUCACACUGAAUGUCGAGUCCAAGAAGGUGUUUGAGCAGACGUGCACUCCGGGGACGCCACGUUGCCUGCUUCCACCAUGCGGUACAUUAGCAGUCAUGAGAAGACGUUGUCAAUGGCUACUAAUGCACAUGAGUGGAUGGAGACGCUGUAGCUUUUGCGCAAAGCUGCCAUGAGGCUCGUGAUAUAAAUAUGCAUGGCGAACCUUAACCCCAACCCUUCCUUAUUUUGGUAUACUCCAAUAUCUCAUCCUCUUUCUAUCUAUAUCCUCUUCUUAGUAUUCAGCAUUAAUGGGAU